This 253-nucleotide ribosomal RNA is filed under the name uncultured bacterium. RNAcentral's name for it is "partial 16S ribosomal RNA". It matches the Rfam family "Bacterial small subunit ribosomal RNA", at positions 524 to 776 of the family's 1533-position model. The record is from RNAcentral.
UACGUAGGGGGCAAGCGUUGUCCGGAUUUAUUGGGCGUAAAGAGCGUGUAGGCGGCUUGGAAGUUCAGCUGUGAAAACUCGAGGCUCAACCUCGAGACGUCGGUUGAAACCACCUGGCUAGAGUCCGGAAGAGGAGAGUGGAAUUCCCGGUGUAGCGGUGAAAUGCGCAGAUAUCGGGAAGAACACCCGUGGCGAAGGCGGCUCUCUGGGACGGUACUGACGCUGAGACGCGAAAGCGUGGGGAGCGAACAGG